This is a long non-coding RNA of Globicephala melas (long-finned pilot whale), 400 nucleotides long. RefSeq lists it as uncharacterized. Lineage: Eukaryota; Metazoa; Chordata; Mammalia; Artiodactyla; Delphinidae. The record is from RefSeq and is a predicted model, not a curated record.
CCUCCUUCGGACAUAUCAUCAGAAGGUCUACCGCAGCCUAAUGUAACGCCACAAGGCCUCCGUCUUUCACCUCACUUCCUCUCAUCACAUAGGCAUUUUAUUUUGUGAUUUUUAGCCAUCACAUCAUCACAAGAAGGUUUCUGCUAGAGUUUCUCCGAGAUGUUCAGUUCAUCUUAACAUGGUGUUUGCAUUCUCCCACUGGUUCCUGACCUCUACUGGGUCUUUGGUAACUACAUAUUAAAAUGAAAUACAAAAGUCCGUUGGGGGACUUCCCUGGUGGCGCAGUGGUUAAGAAUCCACCUGCCAAUGCAGGGGACAUGGGUUCAAUCCCUGGUCUGGGAAGAACCCACAUGCCACAGAGCAACUAAGCCCGUGCACCACCACUACUGAGCCUGUGCUC